GCAAGUCGAGCGAGAAGUUUUUAUAGCUUGCUAUAAAAAUGGAAAGCGGCGAACGGGUGAGUAACACGUUGGUAUCUGCCCCCAAGUCAGGGAUAGCCAUUGGAAACGAUGAUUAAUACCGGAUAGUCUCUUUUGGAGUAAAAAUUUAUUGCUUGGGGAGGAGCCUGCGUUCUAUCAGCUAGUUGGUGAGGUAAUAGCUCACCAAGGCAAUGACGGAUACCUGGUCUGAGAGGAUGAUC
RNAcentral lists this ribosomal RNA (239 nucleotides) under uncultured bacterium. RNAcentral's name for it is "partial 16S ribosomal RNA". It matches the Rfam family "Bacterial small subunit ribosomal RNA", at positions 57 to 305 of the family's 1533-position model. The record is from RNAcentral.